RNAcentral lists this ribosomal RNA (602 nucleotides) under Cicindela (Rivacindela) sp. JP-112. Its description in RNAcentral is "partial 16S ribosomal RNA". It matches the Rfam family "Bacterial large subunit ribosomal RNA", at positions 1844 to 2726 of the family's 2925-position model. Lineage: Eukaryota; Metazoa; Arthropoda; Insecta; Coleoptera; Carabidae. The record is from RNAcentral.
UUUAAGGUCUAACCUGCCCAAUGAGGAUUUUAAUGGCCGCAGUAUUUUGACUGUGCAAAGGUAGCAUAAUUAUUAGUUUUUUAAUUGAAAGCUUGUAUGAAGGGUUGGACGAGAUGAAAUCUGUCUUUAUUUAAAUUAAAAUAUAAUUUAACUUUUAAGUAAAAAGGCUUAAAUGUUUAUAAAAGACGAGAAGACCCUAUAGAUCUUUAUUUAAUUAAAAUUUUAAUAAUUUAGGAUUAUUUUAAUUUAAAGUUUUAAUUAAAUUUUAUUGGGGUAAUAUAAAGAUUAAAUAAAUUCUUUUUAUUUAUGACAUUGAUUUAUGAAUAUAUGAUCCAUUAAUAUUGAUUAUAAGAUUAAGUUACCUUAGGGAUAACAGCGUAAUUUUUUUGGAGAGCUCAUAUCGAUAAAAAAGUUUGCGACCUCGAUGUUGGAUUAAAAAUUAGCUUGGGUGCAGAAGCUCAAGAUUUUGGUCUGUUCGACCAUUAAAUUUUUACAUGAUCUGAGUUCAGACCGGCGUGAGCCAGGUCGGUUUCUAUCUUUAUUAAGAUAAAAUGUUUUAGUACGAAAGGACCAAAUAUUUAAUAUAAUUAUAUUUAUUUUUU